GACUGCCCGAGAACCCUUCCUUUUGUUUGUUUUACUGCCGAGAGACGCAAACAGAUGGUGAGGCUGGAGGUCAAAUCAAGUGAAAAUGUGAACGACCCUGCGGUGAGAACAGAGAUCCUGCUGCAGAUCAGGAACAUACUGAAGGAGAACGGGCUGAUGGUUUAUUCAAAGCUCUCAUGGAAAGUUCAGCCAGAUGGAAAUGUUUUCC
Puntigrus tetrazona (Sumatra barb) is the source of this 208-nucleotide long non-coding RNA. RefSeq lists it as uncharacterized. The record is from RefSeq and is a predicted model, not a curated record. Lineage: Eukaryota; Metazoa; Chordata; Actinopteri; Cypriniformes; Cyprinidae. The transcript has 3 exons.